This 373-nucleotide ribosomal RNA is filed under the name uncultured organism. RNAcentral describes it as "partial 16S ribosomal RNA". It matches the Rfam family "Bacterial small subunit ribosomal RNA", at positions 527 to 896 of the family's 1533-position model. The record is from RNAcentral.
GUAGGUGGCAAGCGUUGUCCGGAAUUAUUGGGCGUAAAGCGCGCGCAGGCGGUUCUUUAGGUCUGAUGUGAAAGCCCACGGGCUCAACCGUGGAGGGUCAUUGGAAACUGGAGAACUUGAGUACAGAAGAGGAAAGCGGAAUUCCACGUGUAGCGGUGAAAUGCGUAGAGAUGUGGAGGAACACCAGUGGCGAAGGCGGCUUUCUGGUCUGUAACUGACGCUGAGGCGCGAAAGCGUGGGGAGCAAACAGGAUUAGAUACCCUGGUAGUCCACGCCGUAAACGAUGAGUGCUAAGUGUUAGGGGGUUUCCGCCCCUUAGUGCUGCAGCUAACGCAUUAAGCACUCCGCCUGGGGAGUACGGCCGCAAAGGCUG